This is a long non-coding RNA of Phasianus colchicus (ring-necked pheasant), 851 nucleotides long. RefSeq lists it as uncharacterized. The record is from RefSeq and is a predicted model, not a curated record. Lineage: Eukaryota; Metazoa; Chordata; Aves; Galliformes; Phasianidae.
GGGCUUUCGGUGCAGCAGCGGCAUCGCCCCGUUCCGUUCUCUCCUCGCUGCGCCGGGACCCGGGGAGAAAGGAGACGGAGGGAGGCGAGGGCUGUAGGAAGGCUGAAGCACAGAGAUUAACCACGUAGGCACCAUUCUGACUAUAGAUGCCAAGAAGAAGUGGUGUGAAAGAAGCCAGCAGCUGCUUGAGCCUCAUCCUGCCUGGUAGUGCUCCUGAUGCCUCCCCACAUGGCAUCACACAGGCUGGUCCUGCCAAGGAACGGCUCCAACACAGCACUUAUGCACAGGAACUGCUUCAGCUCAGCGAUACUUCACACAGUAUUAAGGAAGCUUCUGGCAGAAGGACAAAUUGUAAAAAUCAGGAAGAUUGGAAAAGGUGCACCAGGAAACAGUGCUCCGUUUUAUGUCAGUGGCGACGUUCUCAAUGAGAUCCGCAACCGCAGAGCUCAUAACCGACUUCUGAAGCCAACAGAUACGCAGUAUUUCAGUGCUCACAUAAAACGUCGUUAUGAAAAGUUGUAACUUUUUACAGUGUUUGCAAAAGCGAACAGGAACCCCGCCGACCCAGCCCGCAGCACCGCCGAGCGGGGAACCGCAUGGCAGCGCUGCCUCCGAGCGGCCCCCGCCCCGCGCUGCCGGUCCCGCAGCUGCGGGAUGGGGAAAGCAGUGACGCGCGAGAACUCCUCUGCCUCCGCGGCCGCGAGCAGCUCGGAAUCGCUGCUAAACACCCGAGGUGUCACCGCGGUGCCUACGCGCCGGCGGCUCCCUCCCGGUGGGGCAGGGACGGACAUUUUCUCGCUCCCGCUGCCGCCCUGCUCGGCCAGGCGACGGACGUACGUCCACCAGACCGA